UGUUCAUCAUAAUUCUUCCGUCUGCUCUAGAUUCUUAUCUUGUUUCCUACUCCCUCCAUCCCAUUUUAUGUGGCACCAUUUGACUUGGCACGACAUUUAAGAAAAAAUGGAAGAGUUUUGAAACUUGUGGUCUAAAACAAUCCUUUGAUAAUUGUGUCGUUGUAAAUUUCAUUAAGGGUAAAAGAGAAUUUUAAAGUUGAAUUGUUUUUUGUUACAGAAUAUUGUAAAUAUAUUCUAUUACCUUAUAUAGAUAGGGGAGAUAUGUAGGAUAUUUUCUUACCUUUAUUGAUGUUUCUUUCUAGUGUAUAUAUACAUGUAAUGUUGAUAUAAUAAAGGAGUUCAGUUCUAUAAACUACAUGGUAUCAGAGCUAAUAGGGCUCCAGAUCUUGUUCAAAAACUUCGAAACUUUUCCUAGCAUCUUGGGAAAAGGUUUCGGCUACUUGGGUUUUGGUAGAAUACCUCUAGGCUUGCUGUCCCAACAUCAUUUCAUUUGUUCCAACGUACUGUAGGAUUGAUUUUGGUGUUAAAAUCACUGCAGGAUAAUAACUCUUCACUUACAGGUUCGAUUUUCAUCCUUGCAUCUGUGACGUAAAAUCUUGAAAUAACAUUGCGCUACAAUGGCUGUUGGGUUCAUUUUUGGUGUCAAUUUUUUGAUGUUUUCAACCAAACGUUUUCAGCUAGUUUGGUGUCAGAUAUUUUUAUCCUUUACUCUUCUUGAUCAAUUUCUUGGAUAAACAUUAGUUAAAAUGUCUGAUGAUAAAUCUGCCAUGACUGGAAUUAUUCCAGUACUGUCUAAAAUUACUGAUAAUAAAUUAAAUGGGUCUAAUUAUUUAGAUUGGAGUAGAAAAAUUAGGGCCUACUUGCGUAAUGUUAAAAAGGAUGACCAUCAUAUCCAAGAUCCUCCAACGGAUGAUACUAAAAAGACUUGGCUUAGAGAUGAUGCUAGACUACUCUUGCAAAUUAUAAACUCUUUUGACAAUGAAGUUGUUGGUUUGGUUAAUCACUGUGAGUUUGUGAAAGAGUUAAUGGAUUAUUUGGAGUACUUAUAUUCUAGCAAAGGUAAUUUAUCUCGGAUUUAUGAAGUUUGUAAGGCUUUCUAUCAUUUUGAGAAGGAAGCUAAGUCACUCACUACAUACUUCAUGGAGUUCAGGAAAACAUACGAGGAACCGAAUGUACUUCUACCAUUCAGUACUGAUAUCAAGGUGCAGCUGGCUCAGAGGGAACAAAUGGUUAUAAUGAGUUUUUUCAGCUGGACUCCCAUCUGAGUUUGAGACUGCUGAAUCACAUAUUCCGUCUAGUUCUGAGAUCAGCUCUCUCAAAGAUGUUUUCAAUCGAGUGUUGCGCACAGAGAGUACUCCAUCCAACCAAUAGACCAAUGUGCUUGUUGCAAAAGGAGGAAGAAAUAAUGGGAGAUGAAACAACAAUAAUGAUGCACGGAGAUGGAACAACAACAAUGAUGCAGGGAAGUGGAAUCGUAACAAUGAUGCAGGGAAAUGGAACAACACCAAUAACUCUGGGAGAUGGAACAAUAACAAAGGAGGAGACAAUGAUGUUGGUAGAUGGAACAAUAAUAAAGGAGGAGACAAUGAUGUUGGGAGAUGGAUCAACGACAAUACUUGUCGCUAUUGUAAGGAACCCAGGCACAUAAGGCGAAACAGUAAGAAAUUACAGAAUCGCAACCAACAACUUCAGAAUCAGAUUGCCACGGUUGCACCACAUCUAGUUCACCCUCAAUUGUUACAAUCUCAACCGAUGAGUUUGCUAGAUUUAAAAAGAAUUAGGAAUCAAUGAAUGAAACCACUCCAGCCCGUGCCCUUACUGAGUCAGGUAACAAAUGUCUCAUUUCCUCCUCAAGCAACUGGAUCAUUGAUUCGGGUGCCACAUAUCACAUGGCAGGUAAUCCCAAAAUAAUCUCUGAAUUCCGGUCACAUAAAGUACCAUCCUCUGUUACCAUAGCUGAUGGAUCUAGUUAUACCAUUGAGGAUCUGGAAUCAUUAACCCCACUUCAUCUAUUACUUUGUCCUCUGUUCUUGGACUACCUAGUCUUGCCUUUAAUCUGAUUUUUGUGAGUAAACUUACCAAAGAACUACAAUGUUUUGUCUCCUUGUAUCCCGAUUAGUCUUUUUCAGGAUCUUAUGACGAAACAGAUUAUUGGUAAAGGCAUGUAUUAGACGGUCUCUACAUUCUUGAUGAAUGGGCGCCUCCAUCAGUUGCUUGCUCCAGUAUCAUCUCGUCAUUUGAAGCACAUUGUCGUUUGGGACAUCCUUCUCUACCAGUUUUGAAGAAAUUAUGUACUCAAUUUCAUAAUGUACCUUUAAUAGAUUGCCAGUCUUGUCAUUUUGCAGAACACCAUAGAAGCUCGUUAAGUCUUAGGAAUAAUAAGCGGGCUGAGUUUGCUUUCGAGUUAGUUCAUUGAGAUAUUUGGGGACCAUGUCCGGUUGUUUUAAGUUGGGUUCAAAUAUUUUGUUACUUUUGUGGAUGAUUUUUCCCGAAUGGCAUGGAUUUACUUUAUGAAAAAUCAUUCUGAAGUGUUCUCCCAUUUCUCUAAUUUUUGUGCUGAGAUUAAGACACAGUUUAAUGCUUCUAUCCAUAUAUUGAGGAGUGAUAAUGCUAAAGAAUUCAUGUCAGCAUCAUUUCAGAACUACAUGAAUCAAUAUGGUAUUCUUCAUCAAUCUUCGUGUGUAGAUACACCCUCACAAAAUGGAGUAGCUGAGAGGAAAAAUAGACACUUGCUGGAGACUGCUCAUGCUUUGCUAUUCCAAAUGAAGGUACCUAAGCAAUUUUGGGUGGAUGCGGUAUCCACAACUAGUUUUUUGAUUAAUCGCAUGCCAUCCACAAUACUUAAUGAGGAUAUUCCAUAUGGUGUUCUCUUUCCGAAUAAACCAUUAUUUUCAUUAGAGCCAAAGGUGUUUGGAAGUACUUGUUAUGUUCGUGAUGUGCGACCCCAUGUUACUAAACUAGAUCCAAAGGCUUUGAAGUGUGUCUUUUUGGGAUAUUCUCGCUUAUAGAAGGGUUACCGGUGCUACUUUCCAACCCUUAACAGAUACAUGAAGUCGAUAGAUGUGGUGUUCUCUGAGAAAAUUUCCUUUUUUCUUCUUCUGACAGUUCUCCCACUCAGGGACAGAAAGAAAAAGAAUGGCUCAUUUAUAAGACCACUCAACCGAGCUCAGAACACCAUAAGGAAGUUUGUGGAAGUGUUGAGCAGUCAACUGAGAAUGUGUCUUCUGAUGUUCAUUCUGCUCCAACAAGGCCACCGAUAAUUCAAGUUUAUUUUAGGCGACAAGCGACCAAUGAUACAUGUCUUGCACCAACUCUUUCGUCAUCAGAUCCUCCUCCGGUCAAUCCCUCUCCAACAGUUGACAUUCCCAUUGCUCUUCGCAAAGAUUCCAUUUUUGUACCCAAAACAGUUUAGGAAUCUUUGAGUCACCUUGGGUGGUAUGAUGCAAUGCUCGAGAAGAUACAUGCUUUAGAUGAAAAUCACACUUGGAAUUUGGUGGACUUACCAAAAGGAAAAAAGGCAGUGGGAUUGGCUUUCAAGAUUUGGCCGUUACAUCACUUGGAUAUCAAAAUAUAUUUCUUCACGGGGAUCUCCAAGAAGAAGUAUAUAUGGAGCAACCAUCUGGUUUUGUUGCUCAAGGGGAGAAUGAGAAAGUUUGUCACUUGAAGAAAUCUUUGUAUGGUUUGAAACGAAGUCUGCAAAUGUGAUCAUUCGGUCUUCUACAGACAAUGAACAACUGACAUUAUUCUUCUUGUUCUAUAUGUUGAUGACAUUGUCAUCACCAGGAGUGAUUAUGCAGGAAUAUCCUCUCUUUACUUGCAUUGGAUAUUUCACACGAAGACUUGUUCGUGCAUUCGAUAUUUCACACGAAAGACUUGGGAAAACUGAAAUACUUCUUAGGAAUAGAAGUAAGUAGGAGUAAGAAGUAAGGAGUAAGAAGGGAAUAUUUUUAUCUCAAAGAAAGUAUAUCCUUGACCUUCUUGAGGAAACUGGAAAGUUAGCAGCCAAGCCUUGUAAUACCCUAUGGUUCCAAAUAUGCAGCUCACAAAAGAUGAUGGUGACCUCUUCGCAUCCAAAAAGGUACACAAGAUUAGUUGAAAAAUAAACUAUCUUAUUGUAACUCGUCCGAAUAUUGCUUUUGCAGUUAGUGUUGUUAGUUAGUUCAUGACCACGCCUACACUAAAACAUUUGGCAGCUUUGGAGCAAAUAUUUUGCUACUUGAAAGGCACCCCUGGACUUGGCAUAAUAUAUAGCAACAAUGGAUAUACUCGCAUUGAGUGUUUUGCAGAUGCCGAAUGGGCUAGAUCCAAGAUUGAUAGAAGGUCUACUACUGGCUAUUGUGUCUUUGUGGGUGGAAACUUGGUGUCAUGGAGAAGUAAGAAACAAAUUGUUAUACCUCGAUUCAAGAAUUCGAGUAUAGAGCUAUGACAUAAUCCACAUGUGAGAUUAUGUGGAUACAUCACCUCUUAAGUGAAGUUGGGUUGAAGUAUCCCACACCUGCGAAACUUUGGUGUGAUAACCAAGCUGCUCUUCAUAUCGCCUCAAAUCCAGUGUAUCAUGAAAGAACUAAGCACAUUGAGGUGGAUGCCGUUUUAUUCGUGAAAAGAUUCAAGAAAACCUGAUUUCCACGGGCUAUGGGAAGAUGGAGAGCACUAGCUGAUUUGUUCACAAAGACAUUGAAUGGAGCUCAAGUUAGCAAUUUGUGUAACAAGCUGGGCAUGAUUAAUAUAUAUGCUCCAGCUUGAGAGGGAGUGUUACAGAAUAUUGUAAAUAUAUUCUAUUACCUUAUAUAGAUAGGAGAGAUAUGUAGGAUUGACCUUUAUUGAUGCUUCUUUCUAGUGUAUAUUUACAUGUAAUGUUGAUAUAAUAAAAAAGGAAUUCAGUUCUAUAAACUA
Molecule: non-coding RNA, 4893 nt
Organism: Solanum lycopersicum (tomato)
Lineage: Eukaryota; Viridiplantae; Streptophyta; Magnoliopsida; Solanales; Solanaceae
Source: RefSeq, a predicted model, not a curated record